CUAGGGAAAAAACAAAACAGGGUUGAGCUUCUUCAAAUCAGGGGUGAAGCUUGAGGGCUCCCUGGGGGAGGUGACAUCUGUACAGAGUGACUGAGUCCACAUGGCUUGGGGGUGAGAUGGGGCCACUCGGCUCCUUGCCAAAGACCUGCCCUUUUGGAUCUUGCAUGGGAAAGGCUUCUCUGUAGGGAGCUGGGGGAAGGGCCAAGGCUCUGCUGGCCCUCUGGAGGGAGAUGUGGGGCACAGGGCAGGGCCUUCAGGACACCUCAUUCCUGGGAGUGUGCGUGUGGGGACGGGGAGGGAGUGGCCACCAAAGCUGUACUGCCUCCGGGUGGAUGGUCAGAAGAGGCAGCUGGACAGGGGAGGCUCCAGGAGCCGGCUGUCCCUCCUUCUGUCUGGGCUCUGGGCAGUUGGCCUCAGCCAGAGAUCGGGGAUGGGAAAGCAUCUCAUGCCAAGGCCCCAGAGUCAAGCCUGGAAUCAAGAGAAAGGCCAAGCUCCGGCCCCCCAGGUCGUCUUCGCCAAUGGGAACAGGAGUGGAGACGGACCCCGGGAGCUCCCGGCCAGGGGAUCAGGAUCCGACUGAGGCAGGAGCGGAGCAGGAGCUUCGGUGGGUGGAGCUGAGCUCAGAGGAGGCCCUGGGAGCCAGGGCCGAGGGGCCCAGCGCCGCACCAGCCGGGGGGCGCCUGCUGCAAGCCGUGUGGAGGGGUCACCCGGACCUGGUGACAAAGCUGCUGCGUCAGGGGGCCAGCGUGGAGGAGAGGGACCCCGCAGGCAGGACCCCGCUCCACCUGGCCGUGCUGCGCGGCCACGUGCCCCUGGUGCGUCUGCUGCUGCGGCGCGGGGCCGCCGUGGGCGCCGCCGACCGCGCGGGGCGCACGCCGCUGCACGAGGCCGCCUGGCACGGCCACUCGCGGGCGGCCGAGCUGCUGCUGCGCCGCGGGGCCCCGGCCGCGGCGCGCUCGGGGGCCGGCCUGACGCCGCUGCACUGCGCCGCCGCGCUGGGCCGCACGCUGCUGGCCGGCCGCCUGCUGGGCGCGCCGGGCCCGGGCCCCGCGGCGGCGGACGCGCGCGGCUGGACGGCGGCGCACUGGGCGGCGGCGGGCGGCCGGCUGCCGGUGCUGGAGCUGCUGCUGGCGGCGGGCGGCGCGGGCGCGGACGGCGCCCUGGUCGUGGCGGCGGCGGCGGGGCGCGCGGCGGCGCUGCGCCUGCUCCUGGCGCGCGGGGCGCGGGUGGACGCCCGGGACGGCGCGGGGGCCACGGCGCUCGGCAUCGCGGCGAGCCUGGGCCGCGGGCAGGACAUGGAGGUGCUGCUUGCCCACGGGGCAGACCCCAGCCUCAAGGACAGGCACAGUCGCUCUGCACUCCACAGGGCUGCUGCGGGGGGUCAUCUGCCCGCCGUCCAGCUGCUAGUGGCCUGGGGAGCCGAGGUGGACGCGAGAGACUCACUGGGCCUCACACCCCUGCACCAUGCUGCUCGGGGAGGCCAUGCCGAGGUUGCCAGCCACCUCCUAGACAGCGGGGCGCAGGUCAACGCUGCUGGAUGGCUCCACAAGACCCCCCUUCACCUUGCCGUGGAGCACGGCCACGGCCCCACCGCACAGCUUCUGCUGAGCCGAGGGGCUAGCCCCACCUUGAGGACACAGUGGGGUGAGGUGGUCCAGGACCUGGUGUCCGAGGGGGCCUGCCCCAGGCGCUGCCUACCCUUUGCAGAGAGUAGGAGUGGGGGUACAUAGGCCCAGAGGCCCUGAGCUGGGCAGAAGGCUCCAUGCUCCCACAGCCUUCAGAGUGCCAGGCUCCUCUCUUCUGGGCCAAGACUGCCUGCGUGGACAGAGGCGAGGACAGCUAGAGGUUCCUGGAAGAGGAGGCGGGCAGUGGCUUGACCUCCAGUGAUGGGCCGGGGACGGCUCCCCUGCCCCCUGGGGGCACAUCACCCCUGCAGCACGCUAGCUCAGAGACUGAGUUGUGGCAACAGAUUCGACUAAACCCUGACAGUGUCCCCUGUGUCCAUCAUGGGGUUGUCACUCUCCGCUGCUCUCUCUGUACAUGGGAAUGUUCUUCCUGUGUUUUGUUAGGUCCGGUAUUUGUCUGCUGACAUCCAUUUACUACAGGCCCAAAAUAAUGGCCAUGGUUGUUUCCAUCUCCCCUGUGAUCGAGCCUGCACUCAGAACUGCUGUCUUCCCUCUCCACACCCAGUUGAUAUUGCCCGUCCUAACUUAUCUAGGGUCAGGUACCAGCCAACUCGGGACAGGCCCGACGCACCCAGGACCACGGGAUUGCUCAACCAGCCAGUUCUAAACUGCCGCCCUGGCCCUGCCUUACCUUCCUUGUGGGAACUCCAGUAAAGGCUCUGGCCCAAGCUCUCCCCUUGCUCCUGUUCCCGCCUCCGGAGGACACCGGUGUCUCUCCCUGUGGCCCGAGGGGGCAUGGCGUGCCCUCGUCUCUCAGGAAAUGCGGGCUGCCACAGUAUUGCUGAAAUGAUGUUAUGCGGCCCUCCAGGGUGAGCCAAGGCGAUAAGACAUCCGCGUCACCUUUCCCUUCAGCCACCUUACAGGGAGUGACUUCCCUGAAGCUACCGUGCUGUGAGGAAUCCCACAUGCAGCAUGGCAGCCAGAACAUCAACGUCCUUACGUGACCAAGGUCCUACAUACACAUCGUCAUCAACUUACAUCUCUGGCCUUUAAUUUGCUGAGAUUCAGGGAUCCCUGGGAGUCUCAUUUGCCCCAUUCCCAUCACAUUGGUAGUUUUGCUGUUUUUGUUUGUUUGUUUAAGUUUUAAUUUAGUCUCUACAUCCAAAGUGGGGCCCAAACUCCUGUCCCUGAGAUCAAGAGUCACGUGCUCUACCAACUGAGCCAG
Molecule: RNA transcript, 2850 nt
Organism: Hyaena hyaena (striped hyena)
Lineage: Eukaryota; Metazoa; Chordata; Mammalia; Carnivora; Hyaenidae
Gene: ANKRD65
Gene name: ankyrin repeat domain 65
Exons: 6
Source: RefSeq, a predicted model, not a curated record